This 429-nucleotide ribosomal RNA is filed under the name Bacteroidota bacterium. Its description in RNAcentral is "Bacteroidetes bacterium partial 16S ribosomal RNA". It matches the Rfam family "Bacterial small subunit ribosomal RNA", at positions 355 to 776 of the family's 1533-position model. The record is from RNAcentral. Lineage: Bacteria; Pseudomonadati; Bacteroidota.
UAGGGAAUCUUCCGCAAUGGACGCAAGUCUGACGGAGCAACGCCGCGUGAGUGAAGAAGGAUUUCGGUUCGUAAAACUCUGUUGUUAGAGAAGAACAGCGCAUAGAGUAACUGUUAUGCGUGUGACGGUAUCUAACCAGAAAGCCACGGCUAACUACUUGCCAGCAGCUGCGGUAAUACGUAGGUGGCAAGCGUUGUCCGGUUUUAUUGGGCGUAAAGCGAGCGCAGGCGGUCAAUUAAGUCUGAUGUGAAAGCCCCCGGCUCAACCGGGGAGGCUCACUGGGAACUGGUUGACUUGAAUGCACAAGAGGAGGGUGGAAUUCCAUGUGGAGCGGUGAAAUGCGUAGAUAUAUGGAGGAACAACAGUGGCGAAAGCGACUCUCUGGUCUGUAACUGACGCUGUGGCUCGAAAGCGUGGGUAGCAAACAGG